Molecule: unclassified non-coding RNA, 150 nt
Filed under: uncultured Ascomycota
Lineage: Eukaryota; Fungi; Ascomycota
Description: sequence contains ITS2
Source: RNAcentral
GUACCCUCAAGCUCUGCUUGGUGUUGGGUGUUUGUCCCGCCUCACGCGUGGACUCGCCUUAAAGUCAUUGGCAGCCGGAAUAAUUCUGGGGAACGCAGCACAACUGCAGCCUCCACUUUACGCCGAGCGUCCAGCAGGCCUUUUUUCAAC